This 398-nucleotide transfer-messenger RNA is filed under the name Prevotellaceae bacterium. It matches the Rfam family "transfer-messenger RNA". From Rfam's summary of the family: Bacterial tmRNA, also known as 10Sa RNA or SsrA, is named for its dual tRNA and mRNA-like properties. Its role is to liberate the mRNA from a stalled ribosome. Lineage: Bacteria; Pseudomonadati; Bacteroidota; Bacteroidia; Bacteroidales; Prevotellaceae. The record is from RNAcentral.
GGGGUUGACUGGAUUUGACAGCAGCUGAGAUGGUAUGUAAGCACGCGGAGCUUCGUUGCCUGGCUCCUAAAUAUCAGACAUCGACAAAUUAAUUGGCGAAAACAACUACGCUCUCGCUGCUUAAUCGAAGUUCAGUAGAUUAGAGCUUAAUCUCGGCACCAGGUGCUGAGACGAGACAUCGCCCAGAGGUUCUUGUUCCGAAACGCUCUGAUCCGGCGGUGCAGGUAAAUCGGAAAUAGUCAUGUAAGGCCUCGAUUGCAUGAUGAAAUUUUAGAGGAUAAGGUUACGGUUGGUGGUCUGGGUCUUGCCGUAACACGAAAAUGAAGGCCAGAAUAAGCGUGUAGAAAGCGUAUGGUUUCCCUGUUUGGACGCGGGUUCGACUCCCGCCAGCUCCACCC